This 333-nucleotide RNase P RNA is filed under the name bovine gut metagenome. RNAcentral's name for it is "Bacterial RNase P class A". It matches the Rfam family "Bacterial RNase P class A". From Rfam's summary of the family: Ribonuclease P (RNase P) is a ubiquitous endoribonuclease, found in archaea, bacteria and eukarya as well as chloroplasts and mitochondria. Its best characterised activity is the generation of mature 5'-ends of tRNAs by cleaving the 5'-leader elements of precursor-tRNAs. The record is from RNAcentral.
GUCGACCGCGCGACUGCGGAAGAGAAAUCUUACGAGGAAAGUCCGAGCUUCAUAGAGCAGGGUGACGGAUAACGUCCGCCGAAGGUGACUUCCGGGAAAGUGCAACAGAAAAAAACCGCCUUGAAAAAGGUAAGGAUGAAAAGGCGAGGUAAAAGCUCACCGGGGAGGAGGUAACUUCUCCCGCCGUGUAAACCCCACCCGAAGCAAGAUAGGGCGAUAUCGAAUGCGGUUGCUCGCCGCGGUAUCGCCGUUUACGUCGCUUGAGUCCGUCGGUAACGGCGGAAGUAGAUAGAUAGUCGCGCAAGACAGAACUCGGCUUAUAGAUCGGCUCGU